AAUAAGCGAAAGCUUGACGGGGCCAUCCCGAGUGCCAUCUGCUGAGGAUGGCUUUUACCNUGUAUAAAUAGCUGGGGGAAUAAGGAGAGGGCAAGUCUGGUGUCAGCCGCCGCGGUAAUACAA
This 123-nucleotide ribosomal RNA is filed under the name uncultured crenarchaeote. Its description in RNAcentral is "partial 16S ribosomal RNA". It matches the Rfam family "Archaeal small subunit ribosomal RNA", at positions 354 to 478 of the family's 1478-position model. The record is from RNAcentral. Lineage: Archaea; Thermoproteati; Thermoproteota.